AACAUUUUAUUAUAAAAGGGGUAGAAUUUUUGGUCGUAUAUUCGGCCAUUGCGCGCUUUCUAAAUAUUAUGCAUAAUAUAGGGUAUAGUAAAGCUGAUCACUUUAUAUACUUGUAGAGGGGUAUAAUUUAAUCUUUAUGGUUAUCUGAUACACCUGGGUAUAUCAAAGUAUAUCUUUGAUAGUUACUCGAGAAGAGAAGUUCUAGAUCCUUGUGAUCACUCAGCAUAAAUUCUGG
RNAcentral lists this long non-coding RNA (235 nucleotides) under Panax ginseng (ginseng). RNAcentral describes it as "long non-coding RNA (PGIN_LNC007005)". The record is from RNAcentral. Lineage: Eukaryota; Viridiplantae; Streptophyta; Magnoliopsida; Apiales; Araliaceae.